Molecule: ribosomal RNA, 499 nt
Filed under: uncultured Glomeromycotina
Lineage: Eukaryota; Fungi; Glomeromycota
Description: partial small subunit ribosomal RNA
Rfam family: Eukaryotic small subunit ribosomal RNA
Source: RNAcentral
CCAAUAGCGUAUAUUAAAGUUGUUGCAGUUAAAAAGCUCGUAGUUGAAUUUCGAGACCGGUUUACUGGUCGUGCUUUUGUACGUACUGGUAUUAUUGGUUUCUCCUUUCUGACGAAUCAUAAUGCCAUUAAUUUGGUGUUUUGGGGAAUCAGGACUGUUACUUUGAAAAAAUUAGAGUGUUUAAAGCAGGCUCACGCUUGAAUACAUUAGCAUGGAAUAACGAAAUAGGACGUUUGAUUUUAUUUUGUUGGUUUCUAGGAUCGACGUAAUGAUUAAUAGGGAUAGUUGGGGGCAUUAGUAUUCAAUUGUCAGAGGUGAAAUUCUUGGAUUUAUUGAAGACUAACUACUGCGAAAGCAUUUGCCAAGGAUGUUUUCAUUAAUCAAGAACGAAAGUGAGGGGAUCGAAGACGAUCAGAUACCGUCGUAGUCUUAACCAUAAACUAUGCCGACUAGGGAUCGGAUGAUGUUAAUUUUUUAAUGACUCAUUCGGCGCCUUACG